Molecule: long non-coding RNA, 177 nt
Organism: Exaiptasia diaphana
Lineage: Eukaryota; Metazoa; Cnidaria; Anthozoa; Actiniaria; Aiptasiidae
Exons: 3
Source: RefSeq, a predicted model, not a curated record
UGCAAAAAAUAAUGAAAUUGUACUUGAAACGGACCCGCUCACCUCAAUCGAUCAAAUUGACAGGAAUUACUGCCGAAGCAGGAGAGUUCCUUGACCGUGUGGAGUGCUAGUCUAGAAAGGCUUGUCAUUGGUUGGGAUCCGGUAACACUUACACCCAAGAAAACGGUAUGAUUUGCA